CACUCAAAUACUACAACAACAACAACAACAGUAUAUAAAAACCAUAAACAUAGUCAAGUCCUCUCCUCCAGAAAACUCCCAGUUUCGUUUUCUCUUUAGUUGGGCCUGUUUUUUCAGAGUAGAAAGCUUGGUCUUUGUUAAGUAAGCAGAGAUGAGCGAUCCUAAGUAUGCGUAUCCCUACCCUGCUCAAGGUUAUUAUCAAGGACCCCCAGUGAUGGCACCGCCACAAUAUGCAGCAGCUCCACCACCUAGGAGGGAUCCUGGUUUCCUUGAGGGAUGUCUAGCGGCUUUGUGUUGCUGUUGCCUUAUUGACGAGUGUUGCUGCGACCCUUCCAUUCUCUUUAUCUGCUAAUCAACCAAGAAUAAUUUCACCUCCUAUAAAUAUAUAAUUGUAGGUGUAAUGCUUGGGCGUGUUCUUAUUGGAUUACCAUGCGUGCUUAUGUUUUUACUUUUUUUUAAGCAAAACUUAUGUUUUACUUUUUAGCUCUGGCUAGUUCUUGUCUAUCUUCAUCAUUGUGGUGUAGUACUUACUUAGACUCUAUUCAUCAAUUUUAGCUUUUAGCUGGAUUGUUGGGUUGCUA
Molecule: long non-coding RNA, 581 nt
Organism: Quercus robur (English oak)
Lineage: Eukaryota; Viridiplantae; Streptophyta; Magnoliopsida; Fagales; Fagaceae
Exons: 3
Source: RefSeq, a predicted model, not a curated record